This 498-nucleotide ribosomal RNA is filed under the name uncultured bacterium. RNAcentral describes it as "partial 16S ribosomal RNA". It matches the Rfam family "Bacterial small subunit ribosomal RNA", at positions 28 to 507 of the family's 1533-position model. The record is from RNAcentral.
GACGAACGCUGGCGGCGUGCCUAAUACAUGCAAGUCGAACGAGAGCAACCGGUGCUUGCACUGGUCAAUCUAGUGGCGAACGGGUGAGUAACACGUGGGUAACCUGCCCAUCAGAGGGGGAUAACAUCCGGAAACGGAUGCUAAAACCGCAUAGGUCUUCGAACCGCAUGGUUUGAAGAGGAAAAGAGGCGCGAGCUUCUGCUGAUGGAUGGACCCGCGGUGCAUUAGCUAGUUGGUGAGGUAACGGCUCACCAAGGCCGUGAUGCAUAGCCGACCUGAGAGGGUGAUCGGCCACAUUGGGACUGAGACACGGCCCAGACUCCUACGGGAGGCAGCAGUAGGGAAUCUUCCGCAAUGGACGCAAGUCUGACGGAGCAACGCCGCGUGAGUGAAGAAGGUUUUCGGAUCGUAAAACUCUGUUGUUAGAGAAGAACAAGUGCUAGAGUAAAUGUUAGGGCCUUGACGGUAUCUAAACAGAAAGCCACGGCUAACUACGUG